RNAcentral lists this ribosomal RNA (469 nucleotides) under uncultured bacterium. RNAcentral describes it as "partial 16S ribosomal RNA". It matches the Rfam family "Bacterial small subunit ribosomal RNA", at positions 27 to 507 of the family's 1533-position model. The record is from RNAcentral.
GGACGAACGCUGGCGGCGUGCUUAACACAUGCAAGUCGAACGGAAAGGCCCUGCUUUUGUGGGGUGCUCGAGUGGCGAACGGGUGAGUAACACGUGAGUAACCUGCCCUUGACUUUGGGAUAACUUCAGGAAACUGGGGCUAAUACCGGAUAGGAGCUCCUGCUGCAUGGUGGGGGUUGGAAAGUUUCGGCGGUUGGGGAUGGACUCGCGGCUUAUCAGCUUGUUGGUGGGGUAGUGGCUUACCAAGGCUUUGACGGGUAGCCGGCCUGAGAGGGUGACCGGCCACAUUGGGACUGAGAUACGGCCCAGACUCCUACGGGAGGCAGCAGUGGGGAAUAUUGCACAAUGGGCGGAAGCCUGAUGCAGCAACGCCGCGUGCGGGAUGACGGCCUUCGAGUUGUAAACCGCUUUCGCCUGUGACGAAGCGUGAGUGACGGUAAUGGGUAAAGAAGCACCGGCUAACUACGUG